GGCGACGUAGCUCAGUUGGUUAGCAGCGAGGGACUCAUAAGCCCUAGGUCGUUGGUUCGAAUCCAACCGUCGCCA
This 75-nucleotide transfer RNA is filed under the name Chloroflexota bacterium. Its description in RNAcentral is "Chloroflexi bacterium tRNA-Met". It matches the Rfam family "tRNA". From Rfam's summary of the family: Transfer RNA (tRNA) molecules are approximately 80 nucleotides in length. Their secondary structure includes four short double-helical elements and three loops (D, anti-codon, and T loops). Further hydrogen bonds mediate the characteristic L-shaped molecular structure. tRNAs have two regions of fundamental functional importance: the anti-codon, which is responsible for specific mRNA codon recognition, and the 3' end, to which the tRNAs corresponding amino acid is attached (by aminoacyl-tRNA synthetases). tRNAs cope with the degeneracy of the genetic code in two manners: having more than one tRNA (with a specific anti-codon) for a particular amino acid; and 'wobble' base-pairing, i.e. permitting non-standard base-pairing at the 3rd anti-codon position. Lineage: Bacteria; Bacillati; Chloroflexota. The record is from RNAcentral.